CAUGGGGGCCCAGCAAUGGGCAACCGGCGAACGGGUGCGUAACACGUGAGCAACCUGCCGAUCUGUGUGGAAUAGCCGGCCCAACGGCCGGGUAAUACCGCAUACGCUCAGUCUGUAGCAUUACGGAUUGAGGAAACCUUUUUGGGCGGAUCGAGGGGCUCGCGGCCUAUCAGCUAGUUGGCGAGGUAAUGGCUCACCAAGGCGAUGACGGGUAGCUGGUCUGAGAGGAUGGCCAGCCACAUUGGGACUGAGAUACAGCCCAGACUCCUACGGGAGGCAGCAGUGGGGAAUAUUGCGCAAUGGCCUAACGGCUGACGCAGCGACGCCGCGUGUGGGAUGAAGCCCUUCGGGGUGUAAACCACUGUUGCCCGGGACGAACAGCGAGCUUCAUCUUGCCUGACGGUUCCGGAUGAGGAAGCCCCGGCUAACUCCGUGCCGGCUGCCGCGGUAAUACUGAGGGGGCCAUCGUUGCCCGGAAUCGCUGGGCGUACUGGGCCUCUAUGUGGUGCCAGGGCUGUGUUGGGUUACACCCCGAAUGGCUUCCUCCCCUCCCGGCGUCCCUUCGUACUCGUUACGCCAUUGCCAAUAUUCCCCCUGCUGCCUCCCGUAAGAGUCUGGGCCGUAUCUCAAUCCCAAUGUGGCUGGCCACCUCUCAGACCAGCUACCCGUCAUCGCCUUGGUGAGCCAUUACCUCGCCAACUAGCUGAUACGCCGCGAGCCCCUCGAUCCGCCCAAAAAGGUUUCCUCAUCCGUAAUGCUACAGACUGAGCGUAUGCGGUAUUACCCGGCCGUUGGGCGGCUAUUCCACACAGAUCGGCAGGUUGCUCACGUGUUACUCACCCGUUCCCG
Molecule: ribosomal RNA, 849 nt
Filed under: uncultured bacterium
Lineage: Bacteria
Description: bacterial SSU rRNA
Rfam family: Bacterial small subunit ribosomal RNA (bases 1-547)
Source: RNAcentral